UGGCCAUACCAUGAUGAAAGCACCGGUUCUCGUCCAAUCACCGAAGAGCGUCAUUUGGGUGCAGUCAGCACUUGGAGGGUGACCACCAGGGAACACUGUGUGUCGUU
Molecule: non-coding RNA, 107 nt
Organism: Trichonephila clavipes
Lineage: Eukaryota; Metazoa; Arthropoda; Arachnida; Araneae; Nephilidae
Source: the annotation of a GenBank genome assembly